Molecule: microRNA precursor, 58 nt
Filed under: Caenorhabditis briggsae
Lineage: Eukaryota; Metazoa; Nematoda; Chromadorea; Rhabditida; Rhabditidae
Description: mir-7583 microRNA precursor family
Rfam family: mir-7583 microRNA precursor family
Source: Rfam by way of RNAcentral
AGUUGCAAAUAUUGUGGUGGAAUUACAAGCUGUCUUGUCAUCCGAAAUUUGUGGUUGA